UCAGUACAAGGGCUGAGAGAUUUGGGAAUGUUGGAGGCUUGAAAACCUAUUUCUUAGCCCUUCCAUUCGAUUCUACUAGUGACAGACUUACUUUAUUUUUAGCACAUCUUCUCUACAAGCAAGAUUUGUAUCAGUAAUGGCAAAAGUAGUAAACAUCUUUGAACAGAAUACAACUGAAAAUGAAACAAGUGUAUCUGCUAAAAUUAAUGAUACAAUCACAAAUUCAAAUAACAUUUUGGCAUAUUCAGGUGAAAAUCGGUGUGACUACUACGGGUGUAAAGAUGACCCUCAAGAUAACUGCCUCAGUGGUUCAAACUGUCAGUGUAAAGAUGGGCUGCAGAGACCCUUCCUCCAGUCCCCCUUCUGUCUUGAAACUUUCCAGUGUCCCAAAGACUGCAACCCAGAGAACAAAAAGCAGUGCUUGAAGGACAGCACCGGACGGGUGGUGUGUAAGUGCCUUCCAGGCUACAGGAAGACGGACGGUGACGACGCCUGCCAAGAGUAAGAGAAGCUGCUCCGUGUUGAUCUUGCCGUGGCUGGAGCUAGGCAGAGGG
Molecule: long non-coding RNA, 554 nt
Filed under: Cavia porcellus (domestic guinea pig)
Lineage: Eukaryota; Metazoa; Chordata; Mammalia; Rodentia; Caviidae
Description: lncRNA (ENSCPOG00000032987.1)
Source: RNAcentral